Gallus gallus (chicken) is the source of this 384-nucleotide long non-coding RNA. Lineage: Eukaryota; Metazoa; Chordata; Aves; Galliformes; Phasianidae. The record is from Ensembl.
GGCUGAAACCAAAUCCAGCAGCACGGCCUCAGCUGGGGAAGGACUCAGUGGUGGUGAGGACGCACCCGAGAUUAGCGGGGCCCUUUCCAUCAGUGCCAGGGGUGACUUUACCACCCUUAGACCAUAACGCCACGAGAAGGACCCCAUGCAACAUAAACCCAGAGCCCAGAUCUUUGCCUGAAUACGGCCUGGAACUCAUGGCUGUGCCCCCUCGCAGCCCUUCACGAGUGGAAUUUGGGGCAUCGCCCGGAGCUGACGGCCCUGCAGCGGCACGGGGGUGUUGCUUUCCCCAUUGCCUCCCCACGCAGGGAUACGGCCCUCGGAAUCCUCCAGCGAUGCGUUCUCGUGGGGAGGGGGAAUUGUGUCCCGGCGUGGAAAUACGCG